CAAGCAAGUAAGAUCCCUCAGAGACGAUGAGGUAGAUAGGUUCGGGGUGGAAGCGUGGCGACAUGUGCAGCUGACGAAUACUAAUCGAUCGAGGACUUAACCAAU
This 105-nucleotide ribosomal RNA is filed under the name Planococcus maritimus. RNAcentral's name for it is "partial 23S ribosomal RNA". It matches the Rfam family "Bacterial large subunit ribosomal RNA", at positions 2821 to 2925 of the family's 2925-position model. The record is from RNAcentral. Lineage: Bacteria; Bacillati; Bacillota; Bacilli; Caryophanales; Caryophanaceae.